RNAcentral lists this long non-coding RNA (1744 nucleotides) under Nicotiana benthamiana. Its description in RNAcentral is "long non-coding RNA (NBEN_LNC034656)". The record is from RNAcentral. Lineage: Eukaryota; Viridiplantae; Streptophyta; Magnoliopsida; Solanales; Solanaceae.
AAGCCUCCACUUCGACCACCCCGCUCCUAUACGGUGAGUGACAUCCCCGUCUAUCUCUCCAUCGCCCUAAAUCACCGACCCAAGAUAUCUGAAACUGUCCUUAUUGGCGAUGACCUGGGAUCCAAUCUUCACUUCCCUGCCUACUUUGGUCGGCUCGGCGCUAAACCUGCACUCCGGGUAUUCUGUCUUAGAUGUGCUUAUUUUGGAACUCUUAGACUCGAGAGUCUGUCUCCAUACCUCUAGCCUCUCAUUAACACCGACCCUCAUCUCGUCUAUCAAGACUAUGUCAUCCGCAAAUAGCAUACAUCAAGGCGCAUCCCCUUGAAUAUGACGUGUUAGAGCAUCCAUCACCAAGGCAAACAAGAGAGGGCUAAGCGCCGAUCCUUGAUGGAGCCCCAUAACCACUGGAAAAUGGUCUGAGUCGCCNNNNNNNNNNCUAUGUCAUCGGUAAAUAGCAUACACCAAGGCGCAUCCCCUUGAAUAUGACGUGUUAGAGCAUCCAUCACCAAGGCAAACAAGAGAGGGCUAAGCGCCGAUCCUUGAUGGAGCCCCAUAACCACCGAACUGAGUCACCACCCACCGUUCUAACCCUAGUCUUACCUCCAUCGUACGUGUCCUUAAUAACUCUGAUGUAGGCUUCCGGCAUGCUCUUCGCCUCUAGGCACCUCCAUAGCACCUCAUUUGGGACCUUGUCAUAUGCUUUCUCCAAAUCGAUAAACACCAUGUGCAGGUCCUUUUUCUUAUCCCUGAACUGUUCCACCAAUACUAAUUUGAUACCCCUAUAGUUGUUGCAAUACUAGAUAUCCCCUUUGCUCUUGUACAAGGGCACCACUGUACUCCACCUCCACUCAUCCGGCAUCAUUUGGUCCUGAAGAUCUCAUUGAACAAUCUGGAGAGCCACUCCACUCCUGAUCUGCCCAUGCAUCUCUAGAAUUCCACCGGGAUCUCAUCAGGCCCGGUCGCUCGAGCCCUACUCAUUCUAUGCAAAGCCCCAACGACCUCAUCCACCCAAAUGCGCCUGCAGUACCCAAGAUCUCUAUGUUGCUCUGAAUGCCCUAGCUCCCCUAGCUCUAUGCUACGACCCCCUUCCUCGUUAAGUAGGUCUCGAAAGUACACAUGCCACCUCUGCUUCACUUGAGACUCUCCCAUCAUAACUCUACCAUCCUCGUCCUUCAUGCACCUAACUAGGUCAAGAUCCCGCGCCUUCCCCUCCCUUACUUUAGCUAACCGGAAUAGUCCCCUCCUUUCUCCCCUAAUUCCUCGUACAUGCGACCAAAUGCUGUGUUCUUAGCUUCCGUAACCUCCAGCUUCGCUUCCUUCCUCGCCACCUUGUAGAUCUCCCUAUUCGCUCUCCUUUCUUGCUCGCUUGUGCUCCCUGACAACUUAGCAAACAUCGCUUUCUUCACCUCCACUUUUUUUUGGACUACAUCGUUCCACCACCAGUCACCCUGAUAUCUACCUGAAUAGCCCUUGGCUAACCCGAGCACAUCCCGUGCUACCUCCUUCAGCAUGUUCGACGUCUCUGACCACAUUGUGUCUGCUUCCCCAGAAUUUCUCCAAGCUCCACCAUCAACUAACCUCCUCUCCAACUCCUGGGUUUCUCCUUAGUCAAAGCACCCCAUCUAAUCCGCGGUCGUCCCCGAGCACCCCUCCUCUUCCUCUUCACCCAGAGACCGACAUCCAUCACUAGGAGUCUAUGAAGAGUAGAAAGGGACUCUCCCGGGAUAACCUUGCAGUCCUUGCA